ACUUAAAUAGCUUAUAUUACAAGAGCAUAAUAUUGAAGAUAUUAAGGAAAUUUUAUAUUUUUAGGUG
This 67-nucleotide transfer RNA is filed under the name Tenebrionoidea sp. 10 KM-2017. RNAcentral describes it as "tRNA-Phe". Lineage: Eukaryota; Metazoa; Arthropoda; Insecta; Coleoptera. The record is from RNAcentral.